Molecule: ribosomal RNA, 492 nt
Filed under: uncultured bacterium
Lineage: Bacteria
Description: partial 16S ribosomal RNA
Rfam family: Bacterial small subunit ribosomal RNA
Source: RNAcentral
AGUGAACGCUGGCGGUAGGCCUAACACAUGCAAGUCGAACGGCAGCACAGUAAGAGCUUGCUCUUACGGGUGGCGAGUGGCGGACGGGUGAGGAAUACAUCGGAAUCUACUUUUUCGUGGGGGAUAACGUAGGGAAACUUACGCUAAUACAGCAUACGACCUACGGGUGAAAGCAGGGGAUCUUCGGACCUUGCGCGAUUGAAUGAGCCGAUGUCGGAUUAGCUAGUUGGCGGGGUAAAGGCCAACCAAGGCGACGAUCCGUAGCUGGUCUGAGAGGAUGAUCAGCCACACUGGAACGGAGACACGGUCCAGACGCCUACGGGAGGCAGCAGUGGGGAAUAUUGGACAAUGGGCGCAAGCCUGAUCCAGCCAGACCGCGUGGGUGAAGAAGGCCUUCGGGUUGUAAAGCCCUUUUGUUGGGAAAGAAAAGCAUCAGGUUAAUACCCCGCUGUUCUGACGGUACCCAAAGAAUAAGCACCGGCUAACUUCGUG